Molecule: non-coding RNA, 80 nt
Filed under: uncultured Prevotella sp.
Lineage: Bacteria; Pseudomonadati; Bacteroidota; Bacteroidia; Bacteroidales; Prevotellaceae
Description: TPP riboswitch (THI element)
Rfam family: TPP riboswitch aptamer (THI element)
About the family: Vitamin B(1) in its active form thiamin pyrophosphate (TPP) is an essential coenzyme that is synthesised by coupling of pyrimidine and thiazole moieties in bacteria. The previously detected thiamin-regulatory element, thi box was extended, resulting in a new, highly conserved RNA secondary structure, the THI element, which is widely distributed in eubacteria and also occurs in some archaea. Analysis of operon structures identified a large number of new candidate thiamin-regulated genes, mostly transporters, in various prokaryotic organisms.
Source: RNAcentral
UAUCAAGGGGUGCUCACCGUGGGUGGGCUGAGAUGAUACCCUUCAGAACCUGAUGCGGAUAAUGCCGACGUAGGGAUGAU